GAUUGCUCAGUUGGGUAGAAUGUGGUGCUCAUAAUGCCAAGGCCACAGGUUUGAUCCCUGUAUGCGGCA
This is a non-coding RNA of Podarcis lilfordi (Lilford's wall lizard), 69 nucleotides long. The record is from the annotation of a GenBank genome assembly. Lineage: Eukaryota; Metazoa; Chordata; Lepidosauria; Squamata; Lacertidae.